CAAUCGAACCCGGAGAUAGCUGGUUCUCCCCGAAAUAGCUUUAGGGCUAGCGUCGGAAAGAACCUUAGUGAAGGUAGAGCACUGAAUGUGUGAUGGCCCCAUCCCGGGGUACUGAAUACAAUCAAACUGCGAAUGUCAUUAAGGAUGUCCGGCAGUCAGACUGUGAGUGAUAAGGUCCAUGGUCAAGAGGGAAACAGCCCAGACCGCCAGUUAAGGUCCCAAAAUACAGGCUAAGUGGAAAAGGAUGUGGGGAUGCCCAGACAACUAGGAGGUUGGCUCAGAAGCAGCCAUCCUUUAAAGAGUGCGUAACAGCUCACUAGUCGAGUGACCCUGCGCCGAAAAUGUACCGGGGCUAAGCCUGAUACCGAAACUGCGGAUUGUAGGAAACUAUAGUGGUAGGGGAGCGUUGUAUACGAGUAGAAGCCGUACCGUGAGGAGCGGUGGAUUGUAUAGAAGUGAGAAUGCCGGUGUGAGUAGCGAGAUGUAGGUGAGAAUCCUACACACCGAAAGCCCAAGGAUUCCAGGGGAAGGUUCGUCCGCCCUGGGUAAGUCGGGACCUAAGACGAGGCAGAAAUGCGUAGCCGAUGGACAACUGGUUUAUAUUCCAGUACCCGCGAUACAACUGAAGGAGUGACGGAAAAGGUUACCUCGAGCCCUUAAUGGAUUGGGCAGGACAGAGAGGAGCAGGCAGCAGGCAAAUCCGCUGCAGGAUGCAGAGCUCUGGACCGAAUGAACGAGCGAUCAAGUAGUGAAGAGAGAGAUACCAGUUCCCGAGAAAAGCUUCUAAGGCUAAUUGUAUAGCGGCCCGUACCAAAACCGACACAGGUGGUCAAGGCGAGUAGCCUGAGGUGAGCGAGAGAACUGUUGCCAAGGAACUCGGCAAACUGACCCCGUACGUUAGCAAUAAGGGGUGCUCGAAAGAGCCGCAGUGAAUAGGCCCUAGCAACUGUUUAACUAAAACAUAGCUCUCUGCGAAGUCGCAAGACGAAGUAUAGGGGGUGACACCUGCCCGGUGCUGGAAGGUCAAGGGGAUUUGUCAGCGCAAGCGAAGCAUUGAACCGAAGCCCCAGUGAACGGCGGCCGUAACUAUAACGGUCCUAAGGUAGCGAAAUUCCUUGUCAGGUAAGUUCUGACCCGCACGAAAGGUGUAAUGAUUUGGGCACUGUCUCGGCAGCAGACUCGGUGAAAUCUUAGUACCUGUGAAGAUGCAGGUUACCCGCAACUAGACGGAAAGACCCCAUGGAGCUUUACUGCAGUCUGCUAUUGAGUUUCGGUUGGAUAUGCACAGGAUAGGUGGGAGACGAUGAGACGUGGAUUUCGGUCUACGAGGAGUCACUGUUGGGAUACCACUCUUAUUCAACUGGAAUUCUAACUGAUAUCCGUGAUCCGGAUACAGGACCGUGGCAGAUGGGCAGUUUGACUGGGGCGGUCGCCUCCCAAAGAGUAACGGAGGCGCACAAAGGUACUCUCAGAAUGGUUGGAAAUCAUUCAACGAGCGCAAACGCAGAAGAGUGCUUGACUGCGAGACAUACAGGUCGAGCAGGGACGAAAGUCGGUGUUAGUGAUCCGGCGGUGCAGAAUGGAAUGGCCGUCGCUUAACGGAUAAAAGCUACCCUGGGGAUAACAGGCUGAUCUCGCCCAAGAGUUCACAUCGACGGCGAGGUUUGGCACCUCGAUGUCGGCUCAUCGCAUCCUGGAGGUGAAUUCGCUUCCAAGGGUUGGGCUGUCCGCCCAUUAAAGCGGUACGCGAGCUGGGUUCAGAACGUCGUGAGACAGUUCGGUCCCUAUCUGUUGUGGGCGUUGGAAAUUUGAGGAGAGCUGCCCCUAGUACGAGAGGACCAGGGUGGACGUUCCUACGGUGCACCAGUUGUCACGCCAGUGGCACAGCUGGAUAGCUGAGAACGGACCGGAUAAACGCUGAAGGCAUCUAAGCGUGAAACCGACUCCAAGAUUAGAUUUCCCAUUGUUUCAAACAAAUAAGACCCCUUGAAGACGACGAGGUUGAUAGGUCAGGGAUGUAAGUACAGUGAUGUAUUGAGUUGACUGAUACUAAUAGGUCGAAGGUUUAUUCAC
Molecule: ribosomal RNA, 2073 nt
Filed under: human gut metagenome
Description: bacterial LSU rRNA
Rfam family: Bacterial large subunit ribosomal RNA
Source: RNAcentral